This 840-nucleotide ribosomal RNA is filed under the name Echiniscus spiniger. RNAcentral describes it as "eukaryotic LSU rRNA". It matches the Rfam family "Eukaryotic large subunit ribosomal RNA", at positions 660 to 1396 of the family's 3401-position model. Lineage: Eukaryota; Metazoa; Tardigrada; Heterotardigrada; Echiniscoidea; Echiniscidae. The record is from RNAcentral.
CACGGACCAAGGAGUUCAACAUAUGCGCGGGUCGUUGAGUGUCUGGUAUACUCGAAGGCCUAGUGAAAGCAAGCUACAUCAUUUGGUGGUGUAAUAGCGGCGAGAUCCUGGCGCACACACGUGUACUAGGCGCAUCGCCGACCCGUUUAUUGGCCACGCGCCAUGGACGGAGUUCGAGCGCAUACGCUGAGACCCGAAAGAUGGUGAACUAUGCCUGGGCAGGAUGAAGCCAGAGGAAACUCUGGUGGAAGUCCGUAGCGAUUCUGACGUGCAAAUCGAUCGUCUGACCUGGGUAUAGGGGCGAAAGACUAAUCGAACCAUCUAAUAGCUGGUUCCCUCCGAAGUUUCCCUCAGGAUAGCUGGUGCUCGAUUUUAAGCAGUCUCUCCCGGUAAAGCGAAUGAUUAGAGGCCUUGGGACCGAAACGGUCUCAACCUAUUCUCAAACUUUAAAUGGGUGAGAAGUCCGGCUUACUUAAUUUGAAGUCUGGACCAUAGUUUGGAUGCAUGAGUGCCUAGUGGGCCAUUUUUGGUAAGCAGAACUGGCGCUGUGGGAUGAACCGAACGUUGAGUUACGGCGCCUGAUUAUAGACGCUCAUCAGAUACCACAAAAGGUGUUGGUUGCUAUAGACAGCAGGACGGUGGCCAUGGAAGUCGGAACCCGCUAAGGAGUGUGGAACAACUCACCUGCCGAAGCAACUAGCCCUGAAAAUGGAUGGCGCUAGAGCGUUUAGCCUAUACUCAACCGUUGAAGCACAUGCGGCGGUAAGCAAUUGCCGUUCUUUUAUGCUUUUAUGGCAUACGCAUGCUAGUCACGCUUCAACGAGUAGGAGGGUCGCGGCC